RNAcentral lists this ribosomal RNA (460 nucleotides) under uncultured bacterium. RNAcentral's name for it is "partial 16S ribosomal RNA". It matches the Rfam family "Bacterial small subunit ribosomal RNA", at positions 338 to 795 of the family's 1533-position model. The record is from RNAcentral.
CCUACGGGUGGCAGCAGUGAGGAAUAUUGGUCAAUGGGCGGAAGCCUGAACCAGCCAAGUAGCGUGCAGGAUGACGGCCCUACGGGUUGUAAACUGCUUUUAUACGGGAAUAACGCGCCUUACGCGUAGGGCUUUGCAUGUACCGUAUGAAUAAGGACCGGCUAAUUCCGUGCCAGCAGCCGCGGUAAUACGGAAGGUCCGGGCGUUAUCCGGAUUUAUUGGGUUUAAAGGGAGCGUAGGCCGCAUGUCAAGCGUGAUGUGAAAUGUCCGGGCUCAACCCGGGCCUUGCAGCGCGAACUGGCGUGCGUGAGUGCGCGGGAAGCAGGCGGAAUGCGUGGUGUAGCGGUGAAAUGCUUAGAUAUGACGCAGAACCCCGAUUGCGAAGGCAGCUUGCUGCAGUGGAACUGACGCUGAUGCUCGAAAGCGCGGGUAUCGAACAGGAUUAGAUACCCGAGUAGUC